This 312-nucleotide ribosomal RNA is filed under the name Poecilasma obliqua. RNAcentral's name for it is "partial 12S ribosomal RNA". Lineage: Eukaryota; Metazoa; Arthropoda; Thecostraca; Poecilasmatidae. The record is from RNAcentral.
AUUGGAUUUGGCGGCAAAAUAACCUUUUAGAGGAACCUGCCCUAUAAAUGAUGGACCACAAAAUACCUUACUUUUUUUAGUAAUCAGUUUACAUACCGCUGUUGACAGUAAGUUUCUUUAGAAAACUUUCCAAAAUAAGAUAUUUAAUGACUUCAAGUAAAGGUGUAGCUUAUAAGGAAGAAAGAGGUGGGUUACAAUUAAUUAUAAUAAUAAUGAAUUUGUUAAUGAAAAAUAUUCUGAAGGAGGAUUUAAAAGUAAAAUUUUUUAAUGAAAGUUUGAUAUGAGCAAUGUUUUGUGUACAAACCGCCCGUC